GGCUCAGAUUGAACGCUGGCGGCAUGCUUUACACAUGCAAGUCGAACGGCAGCAUGACCUAGCUUGCUAGGUUGAUGGCGAGUGGCGAACGGGUGAGUAAUGCACCGGAACGUACCCAGUAAUGGGGGAUAACGCACCGAAAGGUGUGCUAAUACCGCAUACGCCCUGAGGGGGAAAGCGGGGGAUCGUAAGACCUCGCGUUAUUGGAGCGGCCGAUGCCGGAUUAGCUAGUUGGUGGGGUAAAGGCCCACCAAGGCGACGAUCCGUAGCUGGUCUGAGAGGACGACCAGCCACACUGGGACUGAGACACGGCCCAGACUCCUACGGGAGGCAGCAGUGGGGAAUUUUGGACAAUGGGCGCAAGCCUGAUCCAGCCAUGCCGCGUGAGUGAAGAAGGCCUUCGGGUUGUAAAGCUCUUUCGCAAGGAAAGAAAACUUACCUGUUAAUACCAGGUGAGGAUGACGGUACCUUGAUAAGAAGCACCGGCUAACUACGUG
RNAcentral lists this ribosomal RNA (497 nucleotides) under uncultured bacterium. RNAcentral describes it as "bacterial SSU rRNA". It matches the Rfam family "Bacterial small subunit ribosomal RNA", at positions 21 to 507 of the family's 1533-position model. The record is from RNAcentral.